RNAcentral lists this ribosomal RNA (433 nucleotides) under uncultured bacterium. Its description in RNAcentral is "partial 16S ribosomal RNA". It matches the Rfam family "Bacterial small subunit ribosomal RNA", at positions 29 to 507 of the family's 1533-position model. The record is from RNAcentral.
AACGAACGCUGGCGGCAUGCCUAACACAUGCAAGUCGAACGAGACCUUCGGGUCUAGUGGCGCACGGGUGCGUAACGCGUGGGAACCUGCCCUUAGGUUCGGAAUAACUCCCCGAAAGGGGUGCUAAUACCGGAUAAUGUCUUCGGACCAAAGAUUUAUCGCCUUUGGAUGGGCCCGCGUUGGAUUAGCUAGUUGGUAGGGUAAAAGCCUACCAAGGCGACGAUCCAUAGCUGGUCUGAGAGGAUGAUCAGCCACACUGGGACUGAGACACGGCCCAGACUCCUACGGGAGGCAGCAGUGGGGAAUAUUGGAAUAUGGGCGAAAGCCUGAUCCAGCAAUGCCGCGUGAGUGAUGAAGGCCUUAGGGUUGUAAAGCUCUUUUACCCGGGAUGAUAAUGACAGUACCGGGAGAAUAAGCUCCGGCUAACUCCGUG